UUAAAGGCCCUUUUCAGGGCCACCCACUCGACUCUCUUAAAGGGCU
Cricetulus griseus (Chinese hamster) is the source of this 46-nucleotide non-coding RNA. NCBI's taxonomy places the organism in Eukaryota, Metazoa, Chordata, Mammalia, Rodentia, Cricetidae. The record is from Rfam.